GGAAUAUUGGACAAUGGGGGGAACCCUGAUCCAGCGACGCCGCGUGAGUGAAGAAGUAUUUCGGUAUGUAAAGCUCUAUCAGCAGGGAAGAAAGAAAUGACGGUACCUGACUAAGAAGCCCCGGCUAACUACGUUCCAGCAGCCGCGGUAAUACGUAGGGGGCAAGCGUUAUCCGGAUUUACUGGGUGUAAAGGGAGCGUAGACGGCAGAGCAAGUCUGAAGUGAAAGCCCGCGGCCCAACUGCGGGACUGCUUUGGAAACUGCCCGGCUAGAGUGCUGGAGAGGUAAGCGGAAUUCCUAGUGUAGCGGUGAAAUGCGUAGAUAUUAGGAGGAACACCAGUGGCGAAGGCGGCUUACUGGACAGUAACUGACGUUGAGGCUCGAAAGCGUGGGGAGCAAAC
This 401-nucleotide ribosomal RNA is filed under the name uncultured bacterium. RNAcentral describes it as "bacterial SSU rRNA". It matches the Rfam family "Bacterial small subunit ribosomal RNA", at positions 358 to 773 of the family's 1533-position model. The record is from RNAcentral.